GAGGGUGCAGUGAGGCCGCCCAUUGAAGCAGGAACCCACCGAGGUGAUUCAGGCUCUGGUCUGAACGCUGUAGGAAUCCCCGUCCUUUAGGGCGGGGAGGAUGUCAAUUUACUCUCUC
RNAcentral lists this unclassified non-coding RNA (118 nucleotides) under Xylella fastidiosa. RNAcentral's name for it is "HgcC family RNA". Lineage: Bacteria; Pseudomonadati; Pseudomonadota; Gammaproteobacteria; Lysobacterales; Lysobacteraceae. The record is from RNAcentral.